Molecule: ribosomal RNA, 570 nt
Filed under: Enterobacterales bacterium
Lineage: Bacteria; Pseudomonadati; Pseudomonadota; Gammaproteobacteria; Enterobacterales
Description: bacterial SSU rRNA
Rfam family: Bacterial small subunit ribosomal RNA
Source: RNAcentral
UUGAGGCGUGGCUUCCGGAGCUAACGCGUUAAAUCGACCGCCUGGGGAGUACGGCCGCAAGGUUAAAACUCAAAUGAAUUGACGGGGGCCCGCACAAGCGGUGGAGCAUGUGGUUUAAUUCGAUGCAACGCGAAGAACCUUACCUACUCUUGACAUCCAGAGAAUUCGCUAGAGAUAGCUUAGUGCCUUCGGGAACUCUGAGACAGGUGCUGCAUGGCUGUCGUCAGCUCGUGUUGUGAAAUGUUGGGUUAAGUCCCGCAACGAGCGCAACCCUUAUCCUUUGUUGCCAGCGAUUCGGUCGGGAACUCAAAGGAGACUGCCGGUGAUAAACCGGAGGAAGGUGGGGAUGACGUCAAGUCAUCAUGGCCCUUACGAGUAGGGCUACACACGUGCUACAAUGGCGUAUACAAAGAGAAGCGAACUCGCGAGAGCAAGCGGACCUCAUAAAGUACGUCGUAGUCCGGAUUGGAGUCUGCAACUCGACUCCAUGAAGUCGGAAUCGCUAGUAAUCGUAGAUCAGAAUGCUACGGUGAAUACGUUCCCGGGCCUUGCACUCCCCGCCCGUCAAAA